GAUGAACGCUAGCGGCAGGCUUAACACAUGCAAGUCGAGGGGUAUAGUUCUUCGGAACUAGAGACCGGCGCACGGGUGCGUAACGCGUAUGCAAUCUACCUUUUACAGAGGGAUAGCCCAGAGAAAUUUGGAUUAAUACCUCAUAGUAUGUGAGAAUCGCAUGGUUUUCACAUUAAAGUUCCAACGGUAAAAGAUGAGCAUGCGUCCCAUUAGCUAGUUGGUGGGGUAAAGGCCUACCAAGGCGACGAUCCAUAGCUGGUCUGAGAGGAUGAUCAGCCACACUGGGACUGAGACACGGCCCAGACUCCUACGGGAGGCAGCAGUGGGGAAUAUUGGACAAUGGGCGAAAGCCUGAUCCAGCAAUGCCGCGUGAGUGAUGAAGGCCUUAGGGUUGUAAAGCUCUUUUACCCGAGAUGAUAAUGACAGUAUCGGGAGAAUAAGCUCCGGCUAACUCCGUG
This 458-nucleotide ribosomal RNA is filed under the name uncultured bacterium. RNAcentral's name for it is "bacterial SSU rRNA". It matches the Rfam family "Bacterial small subunit ribosomal RNA", at positions 28 to 507 of the family's 1533-position model. The record is from RNAcentral.